GAUGAACGCUGGCGGCGUGCCUAAUACAUGCAAGUCGAACGCUUCACUUCGGUGAAGAGUGGCGAACGGGUGAGUAAUACAUAAGUAACCUGGCAUCUACAGGGGGAUAACUGAUGGAAACGUCAGCUAAGACCGCAUAGGUGUAGAGAUCGCAUGAACUCUAUAUGAAAAGUGCUACGGGACUGGUAGAUGAUGGACUUAUGGCGCAUUAGCUUGUUGGUAGGGUAACGGCCUACCAAGGCGACGAUGCGUAGCCGACCUGAGAGGGUGACCGGCCACACUGGGACUGAGACACGGCCCAGACUCCUACGGGAGGCAGCAGUAGGGAAUUUUCGGCAAUGGGGGAAACCCUGACCGAGCAACGCCGCGUGAAGGAAGAAGUAAUUCGUUAUGUAAACUUCUGUCAUAGAGGAAGAACGGUGGAUAUAGGGAAUGAUAUCCAAGUGACGGUACUCUAUAAGAAAGCCACGGCUAACUACGUGCCAGCGGCCGCGGUAAUACGUAGGUGGCGAGCGUUAUCCGGAAUUAUUGGGCGUAAAGAGGGAGCAGGCGGCACUAAGGGUCUGUGGUGAAAGAUCGAAGCUUAACUUCGGUAAGCCAUGGAAACCGUAGAGCUAGAGUGUGUGAGAGGAUCGUGGAAUUCCAUGUGUAGCGGUGAAAUGCGUAGAUAUAUGGAGGAACACCAGUGGCGAAGGCGACGAUCUGGCGCAUAACUGACGCUCAGUCCCGAAAGCGUGGGGAGCAAAUAGGAUUAGAUACCCUAGUAGUCCACGCCGUAAACGAUGAGUACUAAGUGUUGGGUGUCAAAGCUCAGUGCUGCAGUUAACGCAAUAAGUACUCCGCCUGAGUAGUACGUUCGCAAGAAUGAAACUCAAAGGAAUUGACGGGGGCCCGCACAAGCGGUGGAGCAUGUGGUUUAAUUCGAAGCAACGCGAAGAACCUUACCAGGUCUUGACAUCGAUCUAAAGGCUCCAGAGAUGGAGAGAUAGCUAUAGAGAAGACAGGUGGUGCAUGGUUGUCGUCAGCUCGUGUCGUGAGAUGUUGGGUUAAGUCCCGCAACGAGCGCAACCCCCGUUGCCAGUUGCCAGCAUUAAGUUGGGGACUCUGGCGAGACUGCCGGUGACAAGCCGGAGGAAGGCGGGGAUGACGUCAAAUCAUCAUGCCCCUUAUGACCUGGGCUACACACGUGCUACAAUGGACAGAGCAGAGGGAAGCGAAGCCGCGAGGUGGAGCGAAACCCAUAAAACUGUUCUCAGUUCGGACUGCAGUCUGCAACUCGACUGCACGAAGAUGGAAUCGCUAGUAAUCGCGAAUCAGCAUGUCGCGGUGAAUACGUUCUCGGGCCU
RNAcentral lists this ribosomal RNA (1346 nucleotides) under uncultured bacterium. RNAcentral's name for it is "bacterial SSU rRNA". It matches the Rfam family "Bacterial small subunit ribosomal RNA", at positions 28 to 1381 of the family's 1533-position model. The record is from RNAcentral.